This 876-nucleotide ribosomal RNA is filed under the name Enterococcus faecium. Its description in RNAcentral is "bacterial SSU rRNA". It matches the Rfam family "Bacterial small subunit ribosomal RNA", at positions 56 to 904 of the family's 1533-position model. Lineage: Bacteria; Bacillati; Bacillota; Bacilli; Lactobacillales; Enterococcaceae. The record is from RNAcentral.
UGCAGUCGAACGCUUCUUUUUCCACCGGAGCUUGCUCCACCGGAAAAAGAGGAGUGGCGAACGGGUGAGUAACACGUGGGUAACCUGCCCAUCAGAAGGGGAUAACACUUGGAAACAGGUGCUAAUACCGUAUAACAAUCAAAACCGCAUGGUUUUGAUUUGAAAGGCGCUUUCGGGUGUCGCUGAUGGAUGGACCCGCGGUGCAUUAGCUAGUUGGUGAGGUAACGGCUCACCAAGGCCACGAUGCAUAGCCGACCUGAGAGGGUGAUCGGCCACAUUGGGACUGAGACACGGCCCAAACUCCUACGGGAGGCAGCAGUAGGGAAUCUUCGGCAAUGGACGAAAGUCUGACCGAGCAACGCCGCGUGAGUGAAGAAGGUUUUCGGAUCGUAAAACUCUGUUGUUAGAGAAGAACAAGGAUGAGAGUAACUGUUCAUCCCUUGACGGUAUCUAACCAGAAAGCCACGGCUAACUACGUGCCAGCAGCCGCGGUAAUACGUAGGUGGCAAGCGUUGUCCGGAUUUAUUGGGCGUAAAGCGAGCGCAGGCGGUUUCUUAAGUCUGAUGUGAAAGCCCCCGGCUCAACCGGGGAGGGUCAUUGGAAACUGGGAGACUUGAGUGCAGAAGAGGAGAGUGGAAUUCCAUGUGUAGCGGUGAAAUGCGUAGAUAUAUGGAGGAACACCAGUGGCGAAGGCGGCUCUCUGGUCUGUAACUGACGCUGAGGCUCGAAAGCGUGGGGAGCAAACAGGAUUAGAUACCCUGGUAGUCCACGCCGUAAACGAUGAGUGCUAAGUGUUGGAGGGUUUCCGCCCUUCAGUGCUGCAGCUAACGCAUUAAGCACUCCGCCUGGGGAGUACGACCGCAAGGUUGAACUCAG